UGACAUAUUUUGAGAAGCAUUACUUGCUGCAGUUAUUUAUUCUUCAGAAUAUGGUAGUUGUCCUUCUUAAAUAGCAGUCAUAAUCAGAACGCUGAAAUCAUAAUCUAUUACAUUUUUGUUUGUGAAGUUCAUGAUGCCGUGUUGAUUAAUUUAGCUGCCUGCCACAUGCUUCUAAGUUCUAACCACCACCUUGACUGCAGGAUGAAAGUAACCCCAUUGGGAGCUCACAAGCUGCCAGAUUUGCUUUGGAAAAUCAUGAUCUGGGUUGUAGAUUGUAGCACUCAAUCUGAGGGUUUGGCUGUAUCGUAUUUGUGACACAUCCCAACAAAACCAUGGAUUUGGGACCCACCACUGGAAUCUCAACCUUUGGUGGGGUCCUCAGAGGAAUCUUCAGGAAUGCCAAGUUUGAAUCUGAUGGAAUCUCAGAAGAAGUUGACAGAAUCUAGCCAUUGAUGGUCUCACAGAGAUGUGAUUUUUGUGCUGAAAGCAAGUGUUCAGCAGGAAGCAGGGAAGGAAAGCUUGCUCAACAUGCACUUAGAACAGGUGAUGCCUGAGACUGCAAGUGGCAGUCACUGCAGCCCAGAAAGGAGUGGAAGAGGAUUAAAGUCUCUCGAGGUUCUGUCAGUGUGUGUCUGUCUCCGUAGAAUGUGAAGUCUCGGCAACUUGGAAAGGUCUUCUUUGAUGGAGUAGGCAAAAACCUUUUCUUUGGUUGGUGCUUAAUCUAUUGUGUCAUGGCUCAGCAUUGACUGUGUGAGGCCAUGAGAGAUUCAACUGCUCAACUUGAGAGUUGUGAUGCCACCUACCUGCCGGCCUACCAAGAGAAGCUUGAACAGGGCCAGUGGCCCACCAUACUGCUGAUCUCCCAACCCCCCCUAAAUUGUACAUCAAACGGCAGUGUACCAAUUAUUUCCUAUAAUUUUACU
Molecule: long non-coding RNA, 923 nt
Organism: Musa acuminata subsp. malaccensis (wild Malaysian banana)
Lineage: Eukaryota; Viridiplantae; Streptophyta; Magnoliopsida; Zingiberales; Musaceae
Source: RefSeq, a predicted model, not a curated record